UUUCAGAUUGACUCAUUAGUAUGACACUCUUGUCAGCUCAUAACAUUCAUUGAACUAAUAUCAGUGUUUGUGUGCAGCUGAGUGCCUCCACAGGCUGUGUCCUGUGUCUUUGCCUUCACCCUCAGCACCUGCAGUAGGUCCCAGCUGCGGCAGAGCAGUCGCUAUGUCGUCUUGCUGAGGGAGGUUUUUGUACGGGUGUGUAAAACUGUGUGAACACCCAUUUACUGUUUGGGUAGUGUACACUCUGACAAUAAUAAUCUGCUGCAUCUUCAGCCUGGACUCCUGUGAUGGUCAGAGUGAAGUCAGUCCCAGAUCCCUCCCAUUGCCAAGAACGGAUGAAGCACUGGAUUCAGGACCCCUACGCAUGCUGACGCAGCUACCCACCUGAACUAGUAUAGCCAUUUCUUCUUGAAUGAUUAUGGUCCUGAAUUUUA
This 434-nucleotide long non-coding RNA is filed under the name Lepisosteus oculatus (spotted gar). RNAcentral's name for it is "lncRNA (ENSLOCG00000022286.1)". Lineage: Eukaryota; Metazoa; Chordata; Actinopteri; Semionotiformes; Lepisosteidae. The record is from RNAcentral.